UACGUAGACCCCGAGCGUUAUCCGGAUUUAUUGGGCGUAAAGCGCGGGUAGGAGGUUUGGUGCGUCUGUUGUUAAAUACCACUGCUUAACGGUGGGAGCGCGACGGAUACGACCAGACUAGAGGGUGUCAGAGGGUAAUGGAACGCACGGUGUAGGGGUGAAAUCCGUUGAUAUCGUGCGGAACACCAAAGGCGAAGGCAUUUACCUGGGACAUUCCUGACUUUGAGCCGCGAAAGCGUGGGGAGCAAAAAGG
RNAcentral lists this ribosomal RNA (253 nucleotides) under uncultured bacterium. RNAcentral's name for it is "partial 16S ribosomal RNA". It matches the Rfam family "Bacterial small subunit ribosomal RNA", at positions 524 to 776 of the family's 1533-position model. The record is from RNAcentral.